Molecule: transfer RNA, 72 nt
Filed under: Candidatus Berkelbacteria bacterium
Lineage: Bacteria; Candidatus Berkelbacteria
Description: tRNA-Arg
Rfam family: tRNA
About the family: Transfer RNA (tRNA) molecules are approximately 80 nucleotides in length. Their secondary structure includes four short double-helical elements and three loops (D, anti-codon, and T loops).
Source: RNAcentral
GCCCUCGUAGCUCAACGGAUAGAGCUCCGCACUCCUAAGGCGGAGAUGGAGGUUCGAUUCCUCCCGAGGGCG